Molecule: ribosomal RNA, 274 nt
Filed under: uncultured bacterium
Lineage: Bacteria
Description: partial 16S ribosomal RNA
Rfam family: Bacterial small subunit ribosomal RNA
Source: RNAcentral
AGACGAACCGGCCAAACGUUAUUCGGAAUUAUUGGGCUUAAAGGGUGCGUAGGCGGCGCGGUCAGUCGGGUGUGAAAUCCCUCGGCUCAACCGAGGAACUGCGCCCGAUACUACCGUGCUUGAGGGAGACAGAGGCGAGCGGAACUGAUGGUGGAGCGGUGAAAUGCGUUGAUAUCAUCAGGAACACCGGUGGCGUAAGCGGCUCACUGGGCCUCUUCUGACGCUGAGGCACGAAAGCUAGGGGAGCGAACAGGAUUAGAUACCCCGGUAGUCC